GAUGAACGCUGGCGGCGUGCCUAAUACAUGCAAGUCGAACGAGUGGCGAACGGGUGAGUAACACGUGGGAAACCUACCCUUCAGCGGGGGAUAACCGUCGGAAACGAUGACUAAUACCGCAUACUGCAGGAUGGUCCCGCGGUGCAUUAGCUAGACGGUGGGGUAACGGCCCACCGAGGCGAUGAUGCAUAGCCGGCCUGAGAGGGUGAGCGGCCACAUUGGGACUGAGACACGGCCCAGACGCCUACGGGAGGCAGCAGUGGGGAAUCUUCCGCAAUGGACGAAAGUCUGACGGAGCAACGCCGCGUGUGUGAAGAAGGUCUUCGGGUCGUAAAGCACUGUUAUCAGAGAAGCGGUAACCGAAAAAAAAGCCACGGCUAACUACGGGCCAGCAGCCGCGGUAAUAC
This 407-nucleotide ribosomal RNA is filed under the name uncultured bacterium. Its description in RNAcentral is "partial 16S ribosomal RNA". It matches the Rfam family "Bacterial small subunit ribosomal RNA", at positions 28 to 526 of the family's 1533-position model. The record is from RNAcentral.